GAGAUAUUAGUAAAAUAAAUUACACCACCUUGUCAAGGUGAAAUCGUGAGUUAAAACCCCACAUAUCUUU
This 70-nucleotide transfer RNA is filed under the name Boraras maculatus (dwarf rasbora). RNAcentral's name for it is "tRNA-Asp". It matches the Rfam family "tRNA". From Rfam's summary of the family: Transfer RNA (tRNA) molecules are approximately 80 nucleotides in length. Their secondary structure includes four short double-helical elements and three loops (D, anti-codon, and T loops). Further hydrogen bonds mediate the characteristic L-shaped molecular structure. tRNAs have two regions of fundamental functional importance: the anti-codon, which is responsible for specific mRNA codon recognition, and the 3' end, to which the tRNAs corresponding amino acid is attached (by aminoacyl-tRNA synthetases). tRNAs cope with the degeneracy of the genetic code in two manners: having more than one tRNA (with a specific anti-codon) for a particular amino acid; and 'wobble' base-pairing, i.e. permitting non-standard base-pairing at the 3rd anti-codon position. Lineage: Eukaryota; Metazoa; Chordata; Actinopteri; Cypriniformes; Danionidae. The record is from RNAcentral.